CAAUAGCGUAUAUUUAAGUUGCUGCAGUUAAAAAGCUCGUAGUUGGAUUUCGGGUGGGAAUGGCCGGUCCGCCGUUUCGGUGUGCACUUGCUACGCCCACCUUGCUGCCGGGGACGUGCUCUUGAGUUCACGCUCGGGACACGGAGUCGGCGAGGUUACUUUGAGUAAAUUAGAGUGUUCAAAGCAGGCCUACGCUCUGAAUACAUUAGCAUGGAAUAACACGAUAGGACUCUGGCCUAUCGUGUUGGUCUGUAGGACCGGAGUAAUGAUUAAGAGGGACAGUCGGGGGCAUUCGUAUUUCAUUGUCAGAGGUGAAAUUCUUGGAUUUAUGAAAGACGAACUACUGCGAAAGCAUUUGCCAAGGAUGUUUUCAUUAA
This 377-nucleotide ribosomal RNA is filed under the name uncultured eukaryote. RNAcentral's name for it is "partial 18S ribosomal RNA". It matches the Rfam family "Eukaryotic small subunit ribosomal RNA", at positions 592 to 976 of the family's 1831-position model. The record is from RNAcentral.